Molecule: long non-coding RNA, 232 nt
Filed under: Mytilus galloprovincialis (Mediterranean mussel)
Lineage: Eukaryota; Metazoa; Mollusca; Bivalvia; Mytilida; Mytilidae
Source: RNAcentral
AAAACAGUUGCAUUGAAAGCUGGCAUUGAGACUUUAGACCACUAUUUGGAUGAUUUUUUCUUUGCUGGUGAAAGUUCAACGGAUAAUUGUACCAUUUUGAUGGACACUUUUAAUGAAGUAUGUAGGCAGUUAGGUGUUCCACUAGCAGAGAAUAAAACAGUAGGUCCUACCACAUGUAUCACAUUUUUAGGCCUUGAAAUUGACACAGUACUUAUGUUGGUUAGAAUCCCCC